GAUGAACGCUAGCGAUAGGCCUAACACAUGCAAGUCGAGGGGCAGCAUAGAGUAGCAAUACUUUGAUGGCGACCGGCGCACGGGUGAGUAACACGUAUGCAACCUACCUACAUCAGGGGAAUAACCCGGAGUAAUUCGGACUAAUACCGCAUAAUACAGGGAUGCCGCAUGGCAAUAUUUGUUAAAGAUUUAUCGGAUGUAGAUGGGCAUGCGUUCCAUUAGCUAGUUGGUGAGGUAACGGCUCACCAAGGCAACGAUGGAUAGGGGAACUGAGAGGUUUGUCCCCCACACUGGAACUGAGACACGGACCAGACUCCUACGGGAGGCAGCAGUGAGGAAUAUUGGUCAAUGGACGAGAGUCUGAACCAGCCAAAUCGCGUGAAGGAAAACUGCCCUACGGGUUGUAAACUUCUUUUGUACAGGAAUAAAAGACAUUACGUGUAAUGUAUUGCAUGUACUGUACGAAUAAGCAUCGGCUAACUCCGUGCCAGCCGCCACCGUAA
This 503-nucleotide ribosomal RNA is filed under the name uncultured bacterium. Its description in RNAcentral is "partial 16S ribosomal RNA". It matches the Rfam family "Bacterial small subunit ribosomal RNA", at positions 28 to 523 of the family's 1533-position model. The record is from RNAcentral.